This 497-nucleotide ribosomal RNA is filed under the name uncultured bacterium. RNAcentral's name for it is "partial 16S ribosomal RNA". It matches the Rfam family "Bacterial small subunit ribosomal RNA", at positions 28 to 507 of the family's 1533-position model. The record is from RNAcentral.
GACGAACGCUGGCGGCGUGCCUAAUACAUGCAGGUAGAACGCUGAAGAGAGGAGCUUGCUCUUCUUGGAUGAGUUGCGAACGGGUGAGUAACGCGUAGGUAACCUGCCUUGUAGCGGGGGAUAACUAUUGGAAACGAUAGCUAAUACCGCAUAACAAUGGAUGACACAUGUCAUUUAUUUGAAAGGGGCAAUUGCUCCACUACAAGAUGGACCUGCGUUGUAUUAGCUAGUAGGUGAGGUAAUGGCUCACCUAGGCGACGGUACAUAGCCGACCUGAGAGGGUGAUCAGCCACACUGAGACUGAGACACGGCCCAGACGCCUACGGAAGGCAGCAAGAGGGAAUCUUCGGCAAUGGGGGCAGCCCUGACCGAGCAGCGCCGCGUGAGUGAAGAGGGUUUUCGGGUCGGAAAGCUCUGUUGUAAGUCAAGAACGGGUGUGAGAGUGGAAAGUUCACACUGUGACGGUAGCUGACCAGAAAGGGACGGCUAACUACGUG